GAUGAACGCUAGCUACAGGCUUAACACACGCAAGUCGAGGGGAAGCGACAUCGAAAGCUUGCUUUUGAUGGGCGUCGACCGGCGCACGGGUGAGUAACGCGUAUCCAACCUGCCCAUCACUUGGGAAUAACCUUGCGAAAGUAAGACUAAUACCCAAUGACAUCCCACGAAGACAUCUGAAUGGGAUUAAAGAUUUAUCGGUGAUGGAUGGGGAUGCGUCUGAUUAGCUUGUUGGCGGGGUAACGGCCCACCAAGGCAACGAUCAGUAGGGGUUCUGAGAGGAGGGUCCCCCACAGUGGAACUGAGACACGGACCAAACGCCUACGGGAGGAAGCAGUAAGGAAUAUUGGUCAAUGGGCGGGAGUCUGAACCAGCCAAUCAGCGUGCAGGAAGACGGCCCUAUGGGUUGUAAACUGCUUUUAUAAGGGAAAAAAGGGCGGUACGGGUAACUGUUUGAGUGUACCUUAAGAAUAAGGACCGGCUAAUUCCGUG
RNAcentral lists this ribosomal RNA (492 nucleotides) under uncultured bacterium. RNAcentral's name for it is "partial 16S ribosomal RNA". It matches the Rfam family "Bacterial small subunit ribosomal RNA", at positions 28 to 507 of the family's 1533-position model. The record is from RNAcentral.